CACUGCCGAGAAAAGCCUCUAGAUAGAAAAUAGGUGCCCGUACCGCAAACCGACACAGGUAGUCAAGAUGAGAAUUCUAAGGUGAGCGAGCGAACUCUCGUUAAGGAACUCGGCAAAAUGACCCCGUAACUUCGGGAGAAGGGGUGCUCUUUAGGGUUAACGCCCAGAAGAGCCGCAGUGAAUAGGCCCAAGCGACUGUUUAUCAAAAACACAGGUCUCUGCUAAACCGUAAGGUGAUGUAUAGGGGCUGACGCCUGCCCGGUGCUGGAAGGUUAAGAGGAGUGGUUAGCUUCUGCGAAGCUACGAAUCGAAGCCCCAGUAAACGGCGGCCGUAACUAUAACGGUCCUAAGGUAGCGAAAUUCCUUGUCGGGUAAGUUCCGACCCGCACGAAAGGCGUAACGAUUUGGGCACUGUCUCAACGAGAGACUCGGUGAAAUCAUAGUACCUGUGAAGAUGCAGGUUACCCGCGACAGGACGGAAAGACCCCGUGGAGCUUUACUGUAGCCUGAUAUUGAAAUUCGGCACAGC
Molecule: ribosomal RNA, 529 nt
Filed under: Staphylococcus aureus
Lineage: Bacteria; Bacillati; Bacillota; Bacilli; Caryophanales; Staphylococcaceae
Description: partial 23S ribosomal RNA
Rfam family: Bacterial large subunit ribosomal RNA
Source: RNAcentral